UUCCAUUAGUAACGGCGAGUGAAACUGGAUCUAGUUCAGCCUGUGAAUCGCUACCUAGUAGCGAGUUGUGGCCUAUAGAAGAUGUGUCGGACAAGACUUUUUACUAAUUAUACUGGAACGUAUAGGCGAAGAGGUUGAGACCACCGUUCAUGUUUAAAGUUCUUGUCCAUGGCAUACACCUUCGACGAGUCGAUUUGCUUGGGAUUGCAGAUCAAAGUGUGACGUAAAUUUGUCAUAAAACUAAAUAUUGGUGGGAAACCGAUAGCGAACAAGUAAUGUGAAUGAAAGUUGCAAAGAACUUUGAAAAGAGAGUUAAAGAGUACUCGAAAUCGUUGAAAGGGAAGCGAACGUAAACAGUGUUUCAUUGUAUCAUCUUUCCUCACUGACUUGUCACUGAGGCGCUGUGAUGCAAAGUUUGUCAACAAGGGUUUGGAUCGAAGCAUAAGUAUGGCUGGGAGGCACACGUCUUUUCGUGGAUUACCAGCUUGUCUCGUUUUGGUCUGGAUUGAGGCUAGUCUUCGUGUUGUUGUCGAAAUGUUUAUGUUCAUCCCGUCUUGAAACACGGACCAAGG
RNAcentral lists this ribosomal RNA (572 nucleotides) under Chaetoceros debilis. RNAcentral describes it as "partial large subunit ribosomal RNA". It matches the Rfam family "Eukaryotic large subunit ribosomal RNA", at positions 75 to 671 of the family's 3401-position model. The record is from RNAcentral. Lineage: Eukaryota; Bacillariophyta; Thalassiosirophyceae; Chaetocerotales; Chaetocerotaceae.